RNAcentral lists this unclassified non-coding RNA (413 nucleotides) under uncultured Physalospora. RNAcentral's name for it is "sequence contains ITS1". The stretch from base 1 to 103 matches the Rfam family "5.8S ribosomal RNA", at positions 50 to 154 of the family's 154-position model. The record is from RNAcentral. Lineage: Eukaryota; Fungi; Ascomycota; Sordariomycetes; Amphisphaeriales; Hyponectriaceae.
GAAAUGCGAUACGUAAUGCGAAUUGCAGAAUCCAGUGAGUCAUCGAAAUUUUGAACGCACCUUGCGCUUCCGGGUAACCGGGAGCAUGUCUGUUGGAGUGCCUGUUCUCAACCACAACUCAUGUUCUGAACGUGAGCGUGUCUGCUUUGUUCGCUGCAAAAGGCGAACACUGCAAUGAGAUGAAAGGCCUUCUUCUGUUUCUCAACCUCACUUUCUUUUUUCCUUGCUGGAAAAGAGUGGUUGUGAAUGUCGUGAGUAAUGUAUUAUUAUAAUAUUUUUACACACAGCAUUCAACACAAAAAGCAACCACCCCCUGUCCUUCAAAAACACAGAAAAGAGUGGGGGGCAAAAAAGCGAGAAGCAAUACAACCCAAUCGGGCCUCCAAUCAGACAAGAAGACCCGCUGAAUUUAA